AUUGAACGCUGGCGGCAUGCCUUACACAUGCAAGUCGAACGGCAGCACGGGUGCUUGCACCUGGUGGCGAGUGGCGAACUGGUGAGUAAUACAUCGGAACGUACCUUAUCGUGGGGGAUAACAAAUUGAAAAACUUGCUAAUACCGCAUAAUACUCCGAGGAGGAACGCGGGGGAUUAGUAAGAACCUUGUGCGAUUAGAGCGGCCGAUGGCUGAUUAGCUAGUUGGUGAGGUAAAGGCCCACCAAGGCAACGAUCAGUAGCAGGUCUGAGAGGAUGAUCUGCCACACUGGAACUGAGAAACGGUCCAGACUCCUACGGGAGGCAGCAGUGGGGAAUUUUGGACAAUGGACGAAAGUCUGAUCCAGCAAUGCCGCGUGAGUGAAGAAGGCCUUCGGGUUGUAAAGCUCUUUUGUCAGUGAAGAAAACUUUAAUAAUAACACUAUUAAAGCAUGACGGUAACUGAAGAAUAAGGACCGGCUAACUUCGUGCCAGCAGCCGCCGUAA
RNAcentral lists this ribosomal RNA (505 nucleotides) under uncultured bacterium. Its description in RNAcentral is "partial 16S ribosomal RNA". It matches the Rfam family "Bacterial small subunit ribosomal RNA", at positions 30 to 523 of the family's 1533-position model. The record is from RNAcentral.